This 909-nucleotide long non-coding RNA is filed under the name Marmota monax (woodchuck). The record is from RNAcentral. Lineage: Eukaryota; Metazoa; Chordata; Mammalia; Rodentia; Sciuridae.
GUUGCUUUCCACAGGUGCUGUGUUUUGAGAGAGGACUGACUGACUGAGGUCCAGGAUUCCCUCUGUCGGCUCCAUCCUCCAAGGUCUUCCUCAAAUCCCAGUUCAUGUGGUGACGCUGUCUUUGAUUAUUCUACUUGAACAUGACUUCUCUUGUUCCCUCCGUCUUCAAAUGCCUGCUGUGCCAGUGAUUGGGAAGAUGAAGUGAGGUCCCUCACCAGGGCGAGCUCUUAGGUUGUAGAGAGCUCUUAGAGACCACACCCUGUGGAGAGCCUGGAUUGAUGUCCUGGUGCCCUCAGAAGUGAGGCUAACAGCUGCUCACCAUUUUGGAACCACUUUCCAAGUGCUGAGACUGAGACUGAACGCACAUCUCCCUGAAUUCCACAACCCUGUAGUGAGUCAGGCACAUGGCAGCAAUAACGGGGUCCCCGAGAUGACAUGGAAGAUGGAAACCAUGGGUGGCCAAAUCUGAUUUUGAAAGGCCUUCAGAAGGCAGGCAUCACCGUGGGCACUGACAGAGGACCACUCAGUAGAAGCAGAGAGGCUGACCCCUUCCUCUGACACUGUGACAGAUGGUGCAUGUGUGCGCGCACACGUGCGCGUGUGGGCUUACACAUGCGUGGAGCUUUGGAUGAAGAAGUGAACUUGUAUUUAGAGGCCACCAUGUUGCAUGGACAUUUUGCUUUUAGACACAGGACUCCCCCAUGCCAACGAGCUGCUCAGUCUAUGAGAAGUACACAGAAUCCCAGACGGAGGAAGAAAGCAGCAGAUUCCCAUCUCCUACCUCAGGGGAUGUGCUCCUUGGCUAGAAUAUGUGGUAGGAUCAGUAGAACACAGGAGCCAACAGUCAGCACAUAAGGUGGAAACCCAGUGAAUAGAAUAUAUAGCAUCGUCAAAUAGAAAUUGUUAAAU